RNAcentral lists this ribosomal RNA (496 nucleotides) under uncultured bacterium. RNAcentral's name for it is "partial 16S ribosomal RNA". It matches the Rfam family "Bacterial small subunit ribosomal RNA", at positions 29 to 507 of the family's 1533-position model. The record is from RNAcentral.
AUGAACGCUGGCGGCGUGCCUAAUACAUGCAAGUCGAGCGAACGGACGAGAAGCUUGCUUCUCUGAUGUUAGCGGCGGACGGGUGAGUAACACGUGGAUAACCUACCUAUAAGACUGGGAUAACUUCGGGAAACCGGAGCUAAUACCGGAUGAUAUUUUGAACCGCAUGGCUCAAAAGUGAAAGACGGUCUUGCUGUCACUUAUAGAUGGAUCCGCGCUGCAUUAGCUAGUUGGUAAGGUAACGGCUUACCAAGGCAACGAUGCAUAGCCGACCUGAGAGGGCGAUCGGCCACACUGGAACUGAGACACGGUCCAGACUCCUACGGGAGGCAGCAGUAGGGAAUCUUCCGCAAUGGGCGAAAGCCUGACGGAGCAACGCCGCGUGAGCGAUGAAGGUCUUCGGAUCGUAAAACUCUGUUAUUAGGGAAGAACAUAUGUGUAAGUAACUGUGCACAUCUUGACGGUACCUAAUCAGAAAGCCACGGCUAACUACGUG